This 804-nucleotide ribosomal RNA is filed under the name Streptomyces sp. RNAcentral's name for it is "bacterial SSU rRNA". It matches the Rfam family "Bacterial small subunit ribosomal RNA", at positions 67 to 883 of the family's 1533-position model. The record is from RNAcentral. Lineage: Bacteria; Bacillati; Actinomycetota; Actinomycetes; Kitasatosporales; Streptomycetaceae.
CGAUGAACCACACUUCGGGUGGGGAUUAGUGGCGAACGGGUGAGUAACACGUGGGCAAUCUGCCCUGCACUCUGGGACAAGCCCUGGAAACGGGGUCUAAUACCGGAUAUGAGCUUCCACCGCAUGGUGGGGGCUGUAAAGCUCCGGCGGUGCAGGAUGAGCCCGCGGCCUAUCAGCUUGUUGGUGAGGUAACGGCUCACCAAGGCGACGACGGGUAGCCGGCCUGAGAGGGCGACCGGCCACACUGGGACUGAGACACGGCCCAGACUCCUACGGGAGGCAGCAGUGGGGAAUAUUGCACAAUGGGCGCAAGCCUGAUGCAGCGACGCCGCGUGAGGGAUGACGGCCUUCGGGUUGUAAACCUCUUUCAGCAGGGAAGAAGCGAAAGUGACGGUACCUGCAGAAGAAGCGCCGGCUAACUACGUGCCAGCAGCCGCGGUAAUACGUAGGGCGCGAGCGUUGUCCGGAAUUAUUGGGCGUAAAGAGCUCGUAGGCGGCUUGUCGCGUCGGUUGUGAAAGCCCGGGGCUUAACCCCGGGUCUGCAGUCGAUACGGGCAGGCUAGAGUUCGGUAGGGGAGAUCGGAAUUCCUGGUGUAGCGGUGAAAUGCGCAGAUAUCAGGAGGAACACCGGUGGCGAAGGCGGAUCUCUGGGCCGAUACUGACGCUGAGGAGCGAAAGCGUGGGGAGCGAACAGGAUUAGAUACCCUGGUAGUCCACGCCGUAAACGGUGGGCACUAGGUGUGGGCAACAUUCCACGUUGUCCGUGCCGCAGCUAACGCAUUAAGUGCCCCGCCUGGGGAGUAC